RNAcentral lists this non-coding RNA (122 nucleotides) under Aeromicrobium choanae. Its description in RNAcentral is "SAM-IV sequence". It matches the Rfam family "SAM (S-adenosyl methionine) riboswitch aptamer". From Rfam's summary of the family: SAM-IV is a mRNA element that regulates gene expression via direct sensing of S-adenosylmethionine (SAM or AdoMet). SAM-IV riboswitches share conserved nucleotide positions with the previously described SAM-I riboswitches sequence analysis and molecular recognition experiments suggest that SAM-I and SAM-IV riboswitches share similar ligand binding sites, but have different scaffolds. Lineage: Bacteria; Bacillati; Actinomycetota; Actinomycetes; Propionibacteriales; Nocardioidaceae. The record is from RNAcentral.
GGUCACGAGUGCCAGCGCGUCUCGACGCACAGCCCCGGCUUGCUGGUCGGCAACCCUCCUCGCGGUGGGGUGCUCCGGGUGACGACCGGGCCCCGGCCGACCGGCCUGGGCAAGCGCGAGUC